GACGAACGCUGGCGGCGUGCUUAACACACGCAAGUCGAACGGAAAGGCCCUGCUUUUGUGGGGUGCUCGAGUGGCGAACGGGUGAGUAACACGUGAGUAACCUGCCCUUGACUUUGGGAUAACUUCAGGAAACUGGGGCUAAUACCGGAUAGGAGCUCCUGCUGCAUGGUGGGGGUUGGAAAGUUUCGGCGGUUGGGGAUGGACUCGCGGCUUAUCAGCUUGUUGGUGGGGUAGUGGCUUACCAAGGCUUUGACGGGUAGCCGGCCUGAGAGGGUGACCGGCCACAUUGGGACUGAGAUACGGCCCAGACUCCUACGGGAGGCAGCAGUGGGGAAUAUUGCACAAUGGGCGGAAGCCUAAUGCAGCAACGCCGCGUGCGGGAUGACGGCCUUCGGGUUGUAAACCGCUUUCGCCUGUGACGAAGCGUGAGUGACGGUAAUGGGUAAAGAAGCACCGGCUAACUACGUG
RNAcentral lists this ribosomal RNA (468 nucleotides) under uncultured bacterium. RNAcentral's name for it is "partial 16S ribosomal RNA". It matches the Rfam family "Bacterial small subunit ribosomal RNA", at positions 28 to 507 of the family's 1533-position model. The record is from RNAcentral.